CGGCGUGCCUAAUACAUGCAAGUCGAACGUCUUUCUAUGGAAGCUUGCUCCACUGAGAAGAUAGUGGCGAACGGGUGAGUAACACGUGGGUAACCUGCCCAUAAGAGGGGGAUAACAUCCGGAAACGGGUGCUAAUACCGCAUAGUUUUUCUUGAUCGCAUGAUUGAGAAAGGAAAGACGGCCUUUGUGCUGUCGCUUAUGGAUGGACCCGCGGCGUAUUAGUUAGUUGGUGAGGUAACGGCUCACCAAGACGAUGAUACGUAGCCGACCUGAGAGGGUGAUCGGCCACAUUGGGACUGAGACACGGCCCAAACUCCUACGGGAGGCAGCAGUAGGGAAUCUUCCGCAAUGGACGAAAGUCUGACGGAGCAACGCCGCGUGAGUGAAGAAAGGUUUUCGGAUCGUAAAACUCUGUUGUCAGAGAAGAACAAGUUGGAGAGUAACUGCUCCAGCCUUGACGGUAUCUGACCAGAAAGCCACGGCUAACUACGUGCCAGCCGCCGC
RNAcentral lists this ribosomal RNA (504 nucleotides) under uncultured bacterium. RNAcentral's name for it is "bacterial SSU rRNA". It matches the Rfam family "Bacterial small subunit ribosomal RNA", at positions 40 to 518 of the family's 1533-position model. The record is from RNAcentral.